GACGUAGGGGGCAAGCGUUGUUCGGAAUUAUUGGGCGUAAAGCGCUCGUAGGCGGGACUGGAAGUCCGUGUUGAAAGACCUCGGCUCAACUGAGGGACCGGCUCGGAUACUCUAGUUCUUGAGGCAAUCAGAGGGUGAUGGAAUUCCCGGUGUAGCGGUGAAAUGCGUAGAGAUCGGGAGGAACACCAGAGGCGAAGGCGGCUCGCUGGACAGUGACUGACACUCAACUACGAAAGCGUGGGGAGCAAACAGG
This 253-nucleotide ribosomal RNA is filed under the name uncultured bacterium. RNAcentral's name for it is "partial 16S ribosomal RNA". It matches the Rfam family "Bacterial small subunit ribosomal RNA", at positions 524 to 776 of the family's 1533-position model. The record is from RNAcentral.